Mercenaria mercenaria is the source of this 7482-nucleotide long non-coding RNA. RefSeq lists it as uncharacterized. The record is from RefSeq and is a predicted model, not a curated record. NCBI's taxonomy places the organism in Eukaryota, Metazoa, Mollusca, Bivalvia, Venerida, Veneridae. The transcript is spliced from 3 exons.
UACAGAGGCAUUUUCUUUCUGUUCUGGUGCCAGUGGUUAUGGCCAAGAAUUUCAACACAAUUUAGUAAUUACCUUGUAACUUCAAUUACUUGGCAUGCUUAUACCUUGGAACGACCCAGAUACGACCCCAUCUGUAGCUAAGGGCAGGUGACUCUAUUAAGCAUUUUUGCAGAAUUAUGUCCCUUUACUAUCCUGCACUGAGAAAAGUGGACCGCACUGCUCCUUGGACAGUACUGGUCUUUUCAUGUAAUUGCCCAUCUUUUUUACAGUUCAUUAAAAUGGAAAACAUGCAUGUGGAUACUGAAAUUAUCCAUGGUAUAAAAAUGUGGUUCUUCUAAAUUAUGUAUAUAUAUAUUCAGAGAAUUCACGGGCAAAAAGACUGGUGCUCAGAUUUGAGAAUCCAGCAAUGAAGUAAUAUGCUUGCCAUUCUUUAUUUUCUAUUUUACAUAACCACAAUUAAUCUAGAUCAAGAGGAGUUACCUGAUGAAGUGCCUGUUACUUUACAAAACGAAGACGAGGACUACCAACCAGGACUAGAUGAUGGUACAUACCAUUUUAUUUCGACAUUCACAUUGGCCAACAUUUAUUUGGGCAGUUUAAAUUUGAACAUGCAGUGCUCGAUCGAUAUAAAAUACACAGCAGGGAUUCGCCUUGAGUCACAUAUAACAUGAGAAAAACUAUUCAUCUGAAAUACCCAGCAGAGAUUUGGAAGUAUAUCCAGGAAGUCAUUGGACAAAAAAGAAAGAGAUGGUCACACGUAGAAAUGGCUGAUUUAACAACCUUAUUUUAAGAAAACUUAGAGACACUGACAAUGCCUAGUAUGAAAGCAUGCUUGAAGGCCAUACAAUCGAGCAAGAAGAAAAAUGGACAGAUAUGCCAAAGGUCCUGGGAGACAAUUAGAAACAAGAGGGCCAUGAAGGCCCUGUAACGCUCACCUGACCAAGUUUCAUUAAGAUAUGGUCAUAAAUGUGGCCUUUUAAGUGUUAACUAGCAUUUCCUUUGAUUUGACCAGGUGACCUAGUUUUUGACCCCAAAUGACCCAGAUUCCAACUUGACCUAAAAAGCAUCAAUAUUAACAUCCUGACUAAGUUUCAUGAAGAUACACUCAUAAAUGUGGCCUCUAAAAUGUUAAAAAGCUUUUCCUUUGAUUUGACCUAGUGACCUAGUUUUUGACCACACCUUAUCCAGAUUUUAACUUGACCUAUAGAUCAUCAAGAUCAACAUUCUGACCAAGUUUCAUGAAGAUACGGUCAUAAAAGUGGCCUUUACAGUGUUAACUAGCUUUUCCUUUGAUCUGACCUGAUGACCUAGUUUUUGAUCCUACAUGACCCUGAUUCAAUCUGGACCUUGAGACCAUCAAGAAUAACAAUCAUCCAGUGGGAUAAAGAAUGUAUUAUUCCGCAACUAACUAAGCUGUUGAGUUGGAGAAGUUGGAGAAUAAACUAUUUAUAAAAAUGGAUUUAGAGGACAGUGCCACGGUUUUUAAGUCUAUUUGUUUUGGGUUUAACGACGUUUACCAACAGUAUUUCAGUUAUGUAAUGGCGGGCAGUUAACCUAACCAGUGUUCCUGGAUUCUGUGCCAGUAAAAACCUGUUCUCCGCAAGUAACUGCCAACGUCCCCACAUGAAUCAGAGGUGGAGGACUAAUGAUUUCAGACACAAUGUCGUUUAUCAAAUAGUCACGGAGAACACACACCCCGUCCUGGGAUCGAACUUACGACCCCGCGAUCCGUUGACCAACGCUCUUACCAACUGUGCUAAGCGGACGACGGUUUUUAAGAGCACAAAUUGGGUGAUUAGACAAAAACAAAAAAUAAAUGAUAAAUAUAAAUCGUAUACCGAUUCUAAUGUGACUGAAAGUAAAAACAUUUACAGUUCAUUUUACAUUUGAUUAUUGUCUAGUAUGUAACAAGAAAUUCUUGAUCAGUAGCUCUGAUACUAUUAAGUAUAACUUUUGUCGUUUUCAGAGCUCUAUGGUGAAGGUUCAUAUCAGUAACCUGCACAACCCUCCUGUUUGCAAGCAGCUAAGGCCUUUAGACUACAACCACAUUGCAAAUCUCAAUGUUGCAAUCAGUGAGUCGUUUUGGCAAGAGCUCAUCACCACGGUUGGUUAGUUGAUAAACGCCCGGAUAAUUUAAAAGACUUUGUUAUACCUGGAAAGAUCUCUGUCCAUGUAAUCAUUCAAGGCUAGCUAUACAAGAAUUGAAAGUCACAGACUUUGUAUCUGUAGAGGUAUUGGCCCAGUUAACAGAUGCUCAAGCCCCAUUGGUUGGACUAGAACACAACAAGAUACACGGCAAUGCUACGAAAAUGACAUUCAAGCAUUGCGCUCUUUUAUUCCGAAAUGUUUUUGACUCGACAAAAUUGAAACAUGCAGAUUUACCAACUAAAAAAUAUUGGAAUUGAAGAGAUCAGAAGCUGCUGGUAUAACAGGAAAUUGUUAUGUUGUAUUUAACAAGAAAUUCUUGAUCAGUAGCUCUGAUACUAUUAAGUAUAACUUUUGUCGUUUUCAGAGUUCUAGGGUGAAGGUUCAUAUCAGUAACCUGCACAACCCUCCUGUUUGCAAGCAGCUAAGGCCUUUAGACUAUAACCACAUUGCGAAUCUCAAUGUUGCAAUCAGUGAGUCGUUUUGGCAAGAGCUCAUCACCACGGUUGGUUAAUUGAUAAACGCCCGGAUAAUUUAAAAGACUUUGUUAUACCUGGAAAGAUCUCUGUCCAUGUAAUCAUUCAAGGCUAGCUAUACAAGAAUUGAAAGUGACAGACUUUGUAUCUGUAGAGGUAUUGGCCCAGUUAACAGAUGCUCAAGCCCCAUUGGUUGGACUAGAACACAACAAGAUACACGGCAACGCUACGAAAAUGACAUUCAAGGAUUGCGCUCUUUUAUUCCGAAAUGUUUUUGACUCGACAAAAUUGAAACAUGCAGAUUUACCAACUAAAAAAUAUUGGAAUUGAAGAGAUCAGAAGCUGCUGGUAUAACAGGAAAUUGUUAUGUUGUUUUAAAUCAUGUUCAGCCAAAAUACUGUAUUGUAUUUGCCUAUGAUGUGACCUUUAUAUUUCAAUUGUACGUUAAAGAUUGGGAUUCCAAGGUCGCAGUUGUCGAAUGUGAAAUAUUUUUGUCCUACUAAACAAGGAAAAGUUCGAACUGUUCUACUCACUUUUUCAUUGGCGUCGGCGUUGACGUCGGCUUGUCGUAAUGCUUUGGUUAAAGUUUAUGUGUACGUUCGUAUCUCUGUAACUAUUACAGAUAUUCAACUGAAACUUCGCACAUUAUCUUCGGAGUAUGGCAAAGACCCAUAACUCUGACUUGCAUGAUAGUAGAAAUAGUCUCUUUUUUCAGAUAAAAACAAGAGCUGUCGGAUGACAGCGCGCUCGACUAUUCGAAGAAUUGAUUGAAGAAUGGGGUCAAAAUAUUACCACAGAUUUUCAGACAAAAGAAAAAAUAGAUUAGACAAACAAUAUUCCUGUAUUUGUUGAUUUCAAUAAGUCUUGCACUAAAUGGCAAUGCAAGACCAUGAUGGUAUUGAAGUGUUCAAAGUUUCAAAGUCAAACAGUUUAAACAAAAUAUGGAACGGUAUGAGAAACUUAACUUAUUUCUAUGUCAAAACAGAUCUAAACUGAGUUAAAGUCCUUUGCCUAGUUAUGAAGUCUUGCCUAUAUAAUGUAAACUGUGAUGGUAAACAAGUGGUCAAAGUUUCAAAGCCAUAUCACAAACUUGUUAGGCAAAAUAUGGACUUGUAUGAAAAAUUUAACUAAUUUCCAAGUCUAAAAAGGGCAAUAAUUCAGCCAAAAUAGUUGACACAGUUAUGUACUCUUGCCUACAGAUGGUAACCAUGUUGAUAAACAAGUGUAUAAAGUUUCAAAGCCACACGUUAGAUAGUUUUAAAAAAAUGCUGACUUGUAUAAAAAACUGAACAAAUUUCAAAAUCCAACAAGAGCUGUCACUUAUGGUGACAUAUUGACCUGGUCACCUUGACCUUUGACCUGGUGACCCUAAGGUCAAUAGGGGUCAUGUACUCAAUAAGUACUAUCAGCAUGUGAAGUUUGAAGGUCCUGGGUGCAGUGGUUCGCGAGUAAAGUGCCUUCAUGCAAAACGUUAACGUUGUGACGAACGAACUAACGAACGAACAGACGGACAGUUGAAAACUAAUAUGUCCCCUUCGAGGGCAUAAAAAGGGUCACAAUUUAGCCAAAUUUGUUGUCAGAGUUAUGUACCAAUUUCCAAGUCCAAAAAGGGCCAUAAUUCGCCAAAAUAGACGACAGAGUUAUGUGUUCUUGCCUACAGAUAUAGACUAUUACACUGAACAAGUGAUAAAAGUUUCAAAGCCAUAUGUCAAACACUUUACAUAAAAUGUGGACUGGUACGAAAAACUUAACAAAGAUUUCCAAGUCAAAAGGGGCCGUAAUUCAGCCAAAAUCCUUGAUGGAGUUAUGUACUCUUGCCUAUAAUUGAAAAUAGUGAUGGUAAACAAGUGUUGAAAGUUUCAAAGCUUUAUCUCAAAAGACUUUGUCAAAAUGUGGACUGGUACGAAAAACUUAACCAAGGUGUAACACAGACGUCGACGCCGAUGCUGUGGUUAAGUAGGACAGCUCUACUUAUUCUUCGAGCUAAAAAGGUGAGACAAAAAGAGCUGUCACUAAUGGUGACAAAUGCCCCCGCAGCGCCUUGACCUUUGACCUGGUGACCCCAAAGUCAGUAGGGGUCGUGUACUCAAUAAGUACUAUCAACAUGUGAAGUUUGAAGUUGCCUUCAUGCAAAAAGUUAACGUUGUAACAAACGAACAAACGGACGGACUGUUGAAACCUAACACGCCUCCCUUCGGGGGAAUAAAAAGAAAUAAGUACUAUCAGCCUGUGAAGUUUGUAGGUCCUGGGUGCAGUGGUUCGCGAGUAAAGUGCCUCCAUGCAAAAAGUUAACAUUGGCCCCGGUGACCUUGACCUGGUCGUGUACUCAAUAAGUACUAUCAGCAUGUGAAGUUUGAAGGUCCUUGGUGCAGUGGUUCGCGAGUAAAGUGCCUUCAUGCAAAAAGUUAACAUUGGCCCUUGUAACCUUGACCUUUGGCGUGGUGACCCCAAAGUCAGUAGGGGUUGUGUACUCAAUAAGUACUAUCAGCAAGUGAAGUUUGAAUGUCCUGGGUGCAGUGGUUCGCAAGUAAAGUGCCUUCAUGUAAAAAGUUAACGUUGUGACGAAAGAACUAACGGACGGACAGUUGAAAACUAAUAUGCCUCCCUUCGGUGACAUAAAUUCGGGGGCAUAAAAAUUCGUCAUUAUACUGAUUAAGAUUAGGGGUGUGGGGGUUGUGUUUUAAAAAACACUAUCAUUGGGCGUUUUCGACUGGGGAUUUGUGUUAACCACUUCGAUAGCGUUGAGCAGUUUUUUUUUUGUUCGGCUGGGACACUUGAUUCUUUGCGUUGAACACAACUUCUUCCAAAGGAGUACGCUGAAAAAUCAGCGUUAACCUGAUCACGAGACGGAGACAUGGCGUAGUCUGUCAGAAAGGAAAGUGGAAAAGGGUAAUUCUGUUCGUUAGGUUGCUUUGAACUUGUGAAGAAGCUUACAACAAGAAUAAUCUCUUUUGCUGCAUAACCCAGUUGUAAUAGAUAACCCAUUCUAGUGUCAAUAAGCAGUAUUUUCUACAGAAGAUGAAAACCAAUCUGGAAAAGCCGUUCCCAGCUGGAUUCGUACCCUUAUGAGUUGUAGUAAAAAACUGUAUGUCUUGUCCGAAUAUUUGACAAUUUCUUUUUAUCACUUUAAGUCUUAAUAAAUUAAAAGGCAAACGUUGAAUGACUAAGGAUAACAAUUACAUUAGCAUGUGUUGAAUGCUCAAAUACUUAAAAUGCUGCGUUUAUUCCGAUGUCGACAGUAUUAAACACUGUUAAACUUAAGCCCUUAACUUUAUUUUCAGGUACUGGCAGACAGUUACGCUUCAAUAUGCAGAUGGUUAUAAACUUACUGUAACUCUUGACUUGCCUGCAAUCCAGAGAUUACAGAAUGGUUGUAGGUAGAAAGAGUAGACUCAAAAUUAGUUACUGUCAGUUCUGUUCAAGGUGUUUUGAGAACUGCUGUAUAGGACUUAAAAUUGCUUCAGAACUACUGAACUCGGACCCUUGCCUGUCUACCAAAUUAAGGAUUGGGUGGUUUAGGUAAAACAGUGCCACAUAAACUUCUGUUUCUAUUUAUAUUUUUUAAAAUAUAUGACCUGCUAUUUUGAUAGAGUAAUAAAUGUGUUUUUUUUCCAGAUAAUCAGCUGAUGGAAAAAAUAAGAGCCUCAACUACUACUUCAAUUCCAGGUCACUCAGAAUUGGCACCACGCACCUCUGCCAUGGAUGUAGCUGAAACUGAUGAAAGCAGUACUGGUCCUUCAGAGUAGUCUUUAGAUUCGACUUACAUACAUUGGCAAAGAGAGGCGAUACUGUUACUUAUAAGUUUAUACAGGGAAAAUGAAGACCGUUUAGAAUACCCAAAAUUACGGAAAAAAGAUGUAUGGAAAGUUAUAAGUGACAAAAUGAAAAAAGUAGUUAUGAAUUCACACAGAAUAAAGUGGAAAGUAAGUGGCGCAGUUUGCUACAAUCCAAUAAAGACGUGAGAGUUAAUAACACAAGUACCGGAAAGAAGCACAAGACAUUCCAAUACUUUGAAGAAAUUGAAGACAUUGUUGCCAAGAGCCAUGACAUCUAUCCAAAGGUCAAAGCAGGCUCUGAUAUUCAUUCACCAAGCACAAAGACUUUUAAGAACUACUAAGUCUGUUGUUGACCCUUCACCUGAAUCAGGCUCUGAUAUUAAUUCACCAAGUUCGAUUUCUCCAGACACUACUAAGUCUGUUGCUGAUGGCCCAUCUACACCUUAAACUACAAAAAAGAAAGCAAGGAAUGAGAAAAAGCAACAGAAACAAGAUACAGGUCAGCAAAUACUUUCUAAAAGAGAGUGAAAGCAGGCGAAGACAAGAGAGUGAAGACAGAGAGAGAAAACGGGAUGAAAGGGCAAAGGAAAGAAAUGAAAAUUUUAAGCAGAUGCUGGAUGUGCUUAGAAGAUUACAUUUAAACAUACAUCACCUUAUGGUGAUACAAGUUGUGUGCAAGUUUGGUAAAAAUCAAAUUAUAAAUAAAGCUGCUAUUGAGCAGACAAGGUCAAAAUAGCUAAUUUUGGCCCUGCAGGGGCCAUAACUCUGGAACCCAUGAUGGGGUAUGGCCAGUUCAAGAAAGGAACCGAGAUCUUAAGGAGAUACAAGUUGUGUGCAAGUUUGGUUAAAAUAAGAUCAUAAGUGAAAUCACUAUCGUGCAGACAAGAAAUUUUUGACGGACGGACGGACGACGGACGAAGGGUGAUCACAAAAGCUCACAAUGUCACGACGUGACAGGUGAGCUAAUAACAACCUAAAACAGGAUAUGUCUAAACACAGCAAUGCACGUAAAGAACUCUACCUUAUAUAUUCAAAAUUUUGAACAAGAUCAGUGCUAAAAUUAAGAAACUGCAAGUGAAAAACCU